RNAcentral lists this ribosomal RNA (301 nucleotides) under uncultured bacterium. RNAcentral describes it as "partial 16S ribosomal RNA". It matches the Rfam family "Bacterial small subunit ribosomal RNA", at positions 509 to 809 of the family's 1533-position model. The record is from RNAcentral.
CAGCCGCCGCGGGAAUACGGAGGGUGCAAGCGUUAAUCGGAAUUACUGGGCGUAAAGCGCACGCAGGCGGUCUGACAAGUCAGAUGUGAAAUCCCCGGGCUUAACCUGGGAACUGCAUUUGAAACUGUCAGGCUGGAGUCUUGUAGAGGGGGGUGGAAUUCCAGGUGUAGCGGUGAAAUGCGUAGAGAUCUGGAGGAAUACCGGUGGCGAAGGCGGCCCCCUGGACAAAGACUGACGCUCAGGUGCGAAAGCGUGGGGAGCAAACAGGAUUAGAUACCCCGGUAGUCCCUGUCUCUUAUAA